GGUGUGUAGCUCAGUGGUAGAGUUCAUGCUUAGGAUGCAUGAGACACUGUGUUCAAUUCCUACCAUGACCC
RNAcentral lists this transfer RNA (71 nucleotides) under Marmota monax (woodchuck). RNAcentral's name for it is "tRNA.Pro". The record is from RNAcentral. Lineage: Eukaryota; Metazoa; Chordata; Mammalia; Rodentia; Sciuridae.